AUUAAUGCGAUGAACAGGUGUAAGUAGAGUGUCCGUUUGAUGAAAGAGAGUGCACGGUCGGUGUGAGUGCAUAUCGGCGGGGAUUUGAAUUUCAGCCUGCGAGCACCCUGCGAGCAAUUAAGUAGGGCGUACACCUGCGAUAAAGGUAAGAGUGGCAUAUUUUAUGUAUGCAAUUUGAGUGGUACCACGGAAAUUUUCGUCUCAUAU
This 207-nucleotide non-coding RNA is filed under the name Eubacterium coprostanoligenes. RNAcentral describes it as "T-box sequence". It matches the Rfam family "T-box leader". Rfam says of the family: Uncharged tRNA acts as the effector for transcription antitermination of genes in the T-box leader family. T-boxes are found upstream of many aminoacyl-tRNA synthetase genes and some amino acid biosynthetic genes usually in Gram-positive bacteria. The record is from RNAcentral. Lineage: Bacteria; Bacillati; Bacillota; Clostridia; Eubacteriales; Eubacteriaceae.